CGGUCACUAGAUAUCCAGCGGGGAAAGAAGACCCUGUAGAGCUUCACUUUGGUCUAGUCUUGUAUAGUUCCUGCGGGGGUGUAGACUAGGUGGGAGAGCAAUCGAUUCUGAAAAACCACUACCCUGUUUGGAAUUAUGCUUACCUAUCACAAGGAAUAGGACUAGAUAGAAAGUUUGGCUGGGGCGGCACACCUUCGAAAGAGCAGCGAAGGUGUCCUAAGUUGAGCUCAGUGAGGACAGAAAUCUCACGUUGAGGAUAAGGCCAAAAGCUCAAUUUACUGUGCCUUUUUGUACUAGGAUCAGUUACGAAAGUAAGGCCUAACGAUCCCUAAAUAGCCUCAGGUGCGUGAGGAUUGGGGUGACAGACAAGUUACCUCCGGGACAACUGGCUUGUGGCUGCUAAGAGAUCAAAUCAACGCAGCUUUUUGAUUCUUCGAUGUCGGCUCUUCCUAUCCUAGUGAUGUACAAGUUGCUAAGGGUCGGAUUGUUCACCCGUAUUAGGGAUCGUGAGCUGGGUUUAGACCGUCGUGAGCCAGGUUUGUUUUAUCCUACUGGAUAUAGCAUCAUGAUAGUAGAUUGAUUUAGUACGAGAGGAACUGUUGAUUAUGGCCUCUGGUUAGCGAUUAUCGGAAACGGUAUGUCGCGCAGCUACGCCGUCUGGGAUAAUGGCUGAAAGCCUCUUAAGCCAGAAGCCCAUCUAGAAAGUGAUGCACGUGAUGUUGGACCGAUACGAAUAAUCAUACUCAAAAGGUCCGCUUCAUAGGUAACCCAAUGUAGAAGACAUUGUGUGAACGAAGGUACUGUAAGCAGUGGAGUGGCAUUACGUCCACGACCUGUUGAGGUUCAGCUUCGCUUCUAGGUUUCC
Non-coding RNA from Trichomonas vaginalis G3, 865 nucleotides. NCBI's taxonomy places the organism in Eukaryota, Parabasalia, Trichomonadida, Trichomonadidae. The record is from Rfam.